CCUACGGGUGGCAGCAGUGAGGAAUAUUGGUCAAUGGACGAGAGUCUGAACCAGCCAAGUAGCGUGAAGGAUGACUGCCCUAUGGGUUGUAAACUUCUUUUAUAUGGGAAUAAAAUGUUCCACGUGUGGGAUUUUGUAUGUACCAUAUGAAUAAGGAUCGGCUAACUCCGUGCCAGCAGCCGCGGUAAUACGGAGGAUCCGAGCGUUAUCCGGAUUUAUUGGGUUUAAAGGGAGCGUAGGUGGAUUGUUAAGUCAGUUGUGAAAGUUUGCGGCUCAACCGUAAAAUUGCAGUUGAAACUGGCAGGGUAGAGGACAGGAGAAGGAGGAGGAAUGAGUGGGGGAGCGGGGAAAG
This 352-nucleotide ribosomal RNA is filed under the name uncultured bacterium. RNAcentral's name for it is "partial 16S ribosomal RNA". It matches the Rfam family "Bacterial small subunit ribosomal RNA", at positions 338 to 687 of the family's 1533-position model. The record is from RNAcentral.